UACGUAGGGGGGCAAGCGUUGUCCGGAUUUAUUGGGCGUAAAGCGCACGCAGGCGGUCUUUCACGUUUCCAGUGACAGGUGGGGGCUUAACUCCCACAGGCCUGGAAAUACGGGAAGACUUGAGGGCUUCAGAGGGACGCGGAAUUCCAGGUGGAGCGGUGAAAUGCGUAGAUAUCAGGAGGAACACCGAUGGCGAAGGCAGGUCUCUGGGCCAUAACUGACGCUGAGAAGCGAAAAGCAUGGGGGAGCGAAACAGG
RNAcentral lists this ribosomal RNA (257 nucleotides) under uncultured bacterium. RNAcentral describes it as "partial 16S ribosomal RNA". It matches the Rfam family "Bacterial small subunit ribosomal RNA", at positions 524 to 776 of the family's 1533-position model. The record is from RNAcentral.